This 309-nucleotide ribosomal RNA is filed under the name uncultured bacterium. Its description in RNAcentral is "bacterial SSU rRNA". It matches the Rfam family "Bacterial small subunit ribosomal RNA", at positions 28 to 335 of the family's 1533-position model. The record is from RNAcentral.
GACGAACGCUGGCGGCGUGCUUAACACAUGCAAGUCGAGCGGUAAGGCCCUUUCGGGGGGUACACGAGCGGCGAACGGGUGAGUAACACGUGGGUGACCUGCCCUCAGCUCUGGGAUAAGCCUGGGAAACUGGGUCUAAUACUGGAUAUGACUCCACGGUGCAUGUCGUGGGGUAGGAAAGCCUUGUGCGGCUGAGGAUGGGCCCGCGGCCUAUCAGCUUGGUUGGUGGGGNGAUGGCCUACCAAGGCGACGACGGGUAGCCGGCCUGAGAGGGCGACCGGCCACACUGGGACUGAGACACGGCCCAGA